This 85-nucleotide transfer RNA is filed under the name Rhizobium sp. Root1220. RNAcentral describes it as "tRNA-Leu". It matches the Rfam family "tRNA". Rfam says of the family: Transfer RNA (tRNA) molecules are approximately 80 nucleotides in length. Their secondary structure includes four short double-helical elements and three loops (D, anti-codon, and T loops). Lineage: Bacteria; Pseudomonadati; Pseudomonadota; Alphaproteobacteria; Hyphomicrobiales; Rhizobiaceae. The record is from RNAcentral.
GCGGGCGUGGAGAAAUUGGUAAACUCAAGGCACUUAAAAUGCCUCGGCCUCGGCCUUGCGGGUUCAAGCCCCGCCGCCCGCACCA